GUAAAAGCUUUAAAAGUGUGACUUUGAAGCAGUCAAGAUAUAUCUGUAUUUUUUAAG
This 57-nucleotide transfer RNA is filed under the name Rotaria rotatoria. RNAcentral's name for it is "tRNA-Phe". Lineage: Eukaryota; Metazoa; Rotifera; Eurotatoria; Philodinida; Philodinidae. The record is from RNAcentral.